GGUGAGAUGGCAGAGGAUGCAAGUGUCUGAGAAACUACGUUCUGGCAACAUAAUUCUGCAAUUCCAAUGUUAAGUGUGAAAAGCAAACAUACUCCUACAGGAUGAGUUAACAGCUGAGAGAAACUGUCAAGGAUGGCUUCAGGGAAUGCAGAAGAGUCAGAAAGCGAUCCCUGCUGAAAGGUCGCUAGUAUGUGUGAUGAAACCAGAUGAGUUCUGGAACCGAC
Carcharodon carcharias (great white shark) is the source of this 224-nucleotide long non-coding RNA. RefSeq lists it as uncharacterized. Lineage: Eukaryota; Metazoa; Chordata; Chondrichthyes; Lamniformes; Lamnidae. The record is from RefSeq and is a predicted model, not a curated record. The transcript is spliced from 3 exons.